GAUAGUCAGAGAUAGAAAUAGUCAAAAGAAGUCAGAUAUAGUGAGAGAUAGUGAUAGUAAGUAGGUGAGAGUAAGGUAGGUAGAAGUAGGAAGGAGUAGAUUGGUGAGUCAGGUGGAGGAAGGUACAGGUGCAGAGAGAGGGAGAGCUUUUUGAAAAUGGAUCCCAGUAUCGUUACACAGCUGCUGGAUGUGAAACUCCAUAACCGUUAUCCUGAGGGGUCAACCAGUAAGGAGAAAUAUGUCAUUAAGAGGAGAGCUGAGACCUUCAGGUUAAAGGGUAAGGAUGCAUGCCACAUGCACUUUAGAACACAAUGAUCAUCUGCCAUGGUAAAACUCCCAAUAUAUCUAAUAUGACAUUUAAACACCAGAUGGAGACCAGUAUUACAUAUGCAGGCGCAAAAAAAAUAAGACUGAGCACCUGGCCUAAGUGGUUUCCAGUGCUGAGGAAGCGAGUGAACUCUUUGAGGAGUUCCAUUGUAGUGAUAUUGGUGGCCACUGUGGAAUUGAAAAGACUCAUAGUGCAAUCAUCACCCGCUACUAUUGGCCUGGAAUGGAGGAUGAUAUUCGCAAGUGGAUGAGUUGGUAUCUUCCAAAUAAUGUGGUGGAACACAUUUUUGUUCAAAAGUAGAGCAUAUAUAUGUUUGAAAGAUGUAUAAGCAAAGGACUAUCACUUUUCAAUAUAAUAUAGUAUAACAUAAUAUUCAUUUGCGCUACCAUUCGUCAUCAUUUUGAAAUAAUCUUUCACUGUUUAGAUUGCUCAGUGUCCACAGUGCCAUUUAAAGAGAGCGAACCUCAAAGAAAAGCAGGAGUACAAUCCAAUAGAGGUGACGGAGCCCUUUGAGCUCAUAGGGAUGGACCUGGUGGGUAAACUCACAGUAACAGAUGGUGGCAACCAGUACAUAUGUGUCAUGUUUGACUAUUUCACCAAAUGGGCAGAGGUAUACCCACUAAAGAGCAAAACAGCAGAUGAGGUGACCAAUUGUAUUCUCGAUUUCGUUUACAAAUUUGGUGCACCUAAAAAACUGCUAACAGACCAGGGCUCAGGAUUUUGCAACAAGGUCAACUAUGGCCUUUUGUUAGAGGCUGGGCAUCGAAAGAAGCCUGUGCUCCCCCUAUCAUCCACAGACCAAUGGCCUUGUGGAGAAACUGAAUGGGACAAUACAGAGGUCGCUGAACAAACUUGUGGCUGAACAACCCAAACAGUGGGACCAUUUCCUGCAGUCUACCAUGUUUGGCCUUCGGACCAAAAAGCAGCUGACCACGAAAUACAGCCCUUAUUAUUUGAUGUUUGGGAGGGAGGCCAGGUAUCCUUCUGAGGUGCCCAAGGAGUACAAAGUAACUGAAGACAAAGUCCGCAGCCUGCUGGUGAGGGAGGACAUCUGCGAAGGAGUCAGAAAGGUGCCUUCACAAACAUAAAAAAAAGUCAGGACAAAGUCCUUAAGAGGAAGGAAGAAAGGGGCCAGGAGGACAAUUUCACAGUGGGCGAUCUUGUCUUGAAAAAAAACAUCAGACAGGAGCAGAGAAAAGGGGGGAAGCUGGAGCCAGAUAUGUUGGGACC
Molecule: long non-coding RNA, 1558 nt
Organism: Sebastes umbrosus (honeycomb rockfish)
Lineage: Eukaryota; Metazoa; Chordata; Actinopteri; Perciformes; Sebastidae
Exons: 5
Source: RefSeq, a predicted model, not a curated record